GUCAGUUGGGGCCCAGAGCCUCCAGGGUGACCCAGAGACAGCUCCAAGAUGUGGCUGGAGCCCUGGAAUGGGCUGACCAGUAUGGCAGCCACCCAGAUGACCUGUGUCCUGCUUAUUCCCUCUGUGAAGUUGGACCGGAAGUCCUUACUGGCAGCAGAGCAUGGUGGUGAGCUCUAUCCCUGGACUUCAACUGCCUGGAUUGAAAUCUCGGAUCCCUCAUCACCAGCCAUGUGGCCUGGAUGAGUUACUCAGCACUGUGCUCUUCA
Molecule: long non-coding RNA, 266 nt
Filed under: Homo sapiens (human)
Lineage: Eukaryota; Metazoa; Chordata; Mammalia; Primates; Hominidae
Description: HSALNT0032160
Source: RNAcentral